This 73-nucleotide transfer RNA is filed under the name archaeon. RNAcentral describes it as "tRNA-Lys". It matches the Rfam family "tRNA". From Rfam's summary of the family: Transfer RNA (tRNA) molecules are approximately 80 nucleotides in length. Their secondary structure includes four short double-helical elements and three loops (D, anti-codon, and T loops). The record is from RNAcentral.
GCCCCCGUAGCUCAGUUGGUAGAGCAGGCGCCUCUUAAGCGCAAGGUCGCAGGUUCGAGUCCUGCCGGGGGCA